This 709-nucleotide ribosomal RNA is filed under the name uncultured archaeon. RNAcentral describes it as "bacterial SSU rRNA". It matches the Rfam family "Archaeal small subunit ribosomal RNA", at positions 47 to 762 of the family's 1478-position model. The record is from RNAcentral.
AGCCAUGCGAGUCAUUGUAGUAAUACAAGGCAGACGGCUCAGUAACGCGUAGUCAACCUAACCUAUGGACGGGAAUAACCUCGGGAAACUGAGUAUAAUGCCCGAUAGAACAUUAUGCCUGGAAUGGUUUAUGUUCCAAAUGAUUUAUCGCCGUAGGAUGGGACUGCGGCCUAUCAGUUUGUUGGUGAGGUAAUGGCCCACCAAGACUAUUACAGGUACGGGCUCUGAGAGGAGUGGCCCGGAGAUGGGUACUGAGACACGGACCCAGGCCCUAUGGGGCGCAGCAGGCGAGAAAACUUUGCAAUGUGCGAAAGCACGACAAGGUUAAUCCGAGUGGUUUCUGCUAAAGGAACCUUUUGUCGGUCCUAGAAACACCGAUGAAUAAGGGGUGGGCAAGUUCUGGUGUCAGCCGCCGCGGUAAAACCAGCACCUCAAGUGGUCAGGAUGAUUAUUGGGCCUAAAGCAUCCGUAGCCGGCUUUGUUUGUUUUCGGUUAAAUCUGUACGCUUAACGUACAGGCUGCCGGGAAUACUGCAGAGCUAGGGAGUGGGAGAGGUAGACGGUACUCGGUAGGAAGGGGUAAAAUCCUUUGAUCUAUUGAUGACCACCUGUGGCGAAGGCGGUCUACCAGAACACGUCCGACGGUGAGGGAUGAAAGCUGGGGGAGCAAACCGGAUUAGAUACCCGGGUAGUCCCAGCUGUAAACUAUG